RNAcentral lists this long non-coding RNA (3241 nucleotides) under Sarcophilus harrisii (Tasmanian devil). RNAcentral's name for it is "lncRNA (ENSSHAG00000020758.1)". The record is from RNAcentral. Lineage: Eukaryota; Metazoa; Chordata; Mammalia; Dasyuromorphia; Dasyuridae.
GCUUGGUCGGGAGGGUUUCUUUCUUCCUUUUUUUUUUUUUUUUUUUUUUUUAAAUUCGCGGUCCGCCCCACGCCCGCUGGCUCCCUCACACUUUCCGCCGCCGCCCUCGCGGGUCCCGGGCUCUGUGGCUUCCCACGUCUCUAGCUUGCGGGUGUCGGUACCGGCCCCGGAGGGGACUUGGAGCAGGGGCCCGGAGCAGCCCCGGGGAGGGGACUGUUGCGAGUCUGGGGCCCCGCUCCGGGGACUAGGACGCUGGGGACCCCCGCCCCCGCCCCCCGGACUCGCCCCCGAGUGGGGGCCCAGGCUCCCGGCUCUACAACAGCCGGCCAGCAAACAGCGUCGCUGAGCACCUGCUCUGAUACUUAGGCGCAGCCGAGCUUCACACAGCCCUACUGUGUGCCGGGGGCCGUGCCGCACGCUGGGGCCUCCCUGCGCCUCGGGGCCACGCGCCGAGACCCGCGCGAGAGCCACGGGCGAGCAAGCCCCUCUCCCACAAGCGCCGGCCCCCUGCCGGGGCGCCGCGUGCGGACGCAAACUUCUCUCCGGGCUUUGAUGGCGCGGACCGACGCUAGCUAGCGCCCCGGGGCACGGCGGAAGGCCCUGCCCGCAAGUCCGAGCUCAGGCUCACUCCUGGGCUGCAAGGGCUCGCUCCCGGAGCCUCGCCGCACCAGCGCGGCUGUGCGCACGGGCACGGGCACAGUCACCCGCAGGCGCGCCCGACGCGUGCCCAGGCAGAGGCCGAGAGGAACGGGCGCAGACACCAGCCCCGGGCGCGGUCCCUGACGCGCUCACGCACUCUCGCAGGUCCCCCAGCUCGCACGGAGGUGCUGGCGAGGGGGACACAGGGACCCACACGGACUCCCGGACUUCACGUGGCCCUAGGAGAGCCCCAAGGACUGGUGGUUCCCUCAAAGGGGAAGCGAAGUUUUCCAGAAGAGCCUGGACCCACGUGACUCUGGAGGGGAAAGUGAGGCAGGUGACCUUGCACAGCCCACGCCAUGGCGUCACCUCCCAGAUGUCGCGGUCCUCUUUCAGACCGAGGCACAGACGGCAACCCCUGUCCUUCUGUUGGGGGAAAGGACUGGCCUGAAGUCGGGAGGACCUGAGUUCAAAUGUCACCUCAGACACUUAUCACUUCCUGGCUGUGUGAACCUGGGCGAGUCGCUUAACCCCAAUUGCCUCAGCAAAAAAAAAAAAAAAAAAAAAAGUCUCAUUGGAGUCAUUUAAUCCCCAAACAACUCUGAUUCUGAGCUGCAGAGGUGCUACUUUUAUGUUAGUAGAGAAUUUUCUAGAAAUAGCUUAUGUCAACAAAAUUAUAGUUCUAGUCCUUAUACCAUCUCUUCUCCCCUAUGCAGAGACCCUACCCAUUAUAACAAAGAUUUAAAGAAAAAAAAGGCAAUCUAUUAAAAAAAUAUUAAUUUAUAUUACCUGAGUUCAAAAGGAGUUUCUGAUACAUUUUAUAAUUUCUGCCACACUAUUUGAAGACUUUUUAGAUAGAGUGUGUUGGAUUGAGACUCAGAAAGACCGGGCAUCCUGAGAUCCUUAUUAGCACUCUUCUCCAGGACAAGUCAUCUAACUCUUCUACUCCUUCAUUUCCUGAUCUCCAAAACCCAAUCUCUAAAGUACUCUGCUAAGAUUCCUUCAAGUUUGAAAUCUAUGAUCUUAUGAGCCUCUUUUUGCUCCUCUGCAAAAUGCCAACUAGACUCAACACUCAGUUUAACCAAGAUGAAAAUGUAAUUUGGAAAUGUUUAACAAAUAAAAAUCUGAUAGAACACAGAUAAUGUUAAUUUGUGGUUUUCCAAGUCAAUAUAUACUUGCAGAGAUGUAGGCUUUAUCUUUACCACUGGGCUAGAUGACCUCUUCUAAUUAUUAAAACCUUUGAUCCUUGACCUGGAAAAAUUCAUUGAUUUGGAAUUAGAAGACCUGGGUUCAAAUCCCAGCUCUGGGGCAAGUGAUCUAACUUUUAGUAGAUUUGUUUUAAAGAAUUCCACUUCACUGAUUUGCAGAAUGUGGGUUUGGAUUAGGAGACCUUUGAAGUUCCUUCCUUCAAGCUCUAAAUCUAUGAUAUGAUUUUAUGGGAUCCUAUCUGUUUGUAUGAGAUAGGGGAAGAAUGGUAGUACUGUGUUGACCUUGACCUCUGGAAGCUGCUUUAGCUUGGACUGUUGCUUUCUUUUGGGGAGGCUUUGAGGUCAAAGGACACAGAUCUGCAAAUUUCUUCCAGACUUAUAAAUUGCAAAUCAACACAAUUGCUUUCUUUCCUUAUAUUUCACUGCUUUUCAUACGUAGCCUGGCAUUCAAGGCCUUCAUUUGCUCCAACCAAUGGCUUUAUCUCUCAGUUCCCCUAAGAAAGUUUCACUUAGACUAAAUUGAUCUAUUCCUUCUCCUCUUCCCUGCAAAUGCUUCUUUGUUCCUUCAAUUUAUCCUUCUUGGAGUUCCUUCGACUCUCAUUUUAUCUUACCUAACUCCAACCAAUCCUUUAAGGGAUUAUUGAAAUCUAUUUACCUCUAACUAUUUGAACCCAUAAUGAUCUUCUUUGAAUUUCUAUAUGUUCUGUCUACAUCCAAUUCAAUCUAUUGAACAUUAAACAGCAAAUUGUAUAAGCUACUAAGUAGGUACUAGGGAUUUAUAAAUUAUCUCAUUAGAAUGUCUGCCUCUUUUUGUAGCCUCAGUGCUUAGCAAAGUUCUUGCACAUAGUAGGUGCUUAUUAAAUGUUUCCUGAUUGAUUCUGUAUGUAUGUAUAUAUGGAGAUGGACAGUGAUUCCUUUUGAACAAAUUAUAAAUACAGUUUAUAUUGCAUUCAUUUCUCAAUAUACCCCUCAUUCCUCUACUACACAGGUAACUAUUCUUAAUACAAAUUUUUUUUUCUAAAGAAAGAAGGAAAAAAAUCCUGUUCAACAGCAACUUAAUCCGAUAGUAUAUUGCAAUGUUCCACAUUCAUAGUUCUCUACUGUUUCAAAAAAGGGAGGAAGAUGCAUUUUUUUUUCUUCGAGAAUAAGUUUGGUUGUUAUAAUUACAUAACAAUUACAUAACAUUCAGUUUCCAUUUUUGGAGCUAGGUGGAGCAGUGGGUAAAACUCCAAAUCUGGAGUUAGAAGAUUUGAAUUCAAAUUUGACCUUAGACAUUUACUGGCUAUGUAAGUCUGGGCAAGUCACUUAAUCUCUGUUUGCUUCAGUUUUCUCAUCUAUAAAAUGGAAAUAAUAUGACAGCACUUUCCUGGUAUUUUUUAAACAACUCAAACUGG